This 506-nucleotide ribosomal RNA is filed under the name uncultured bacterium. Its description in RNAcentral is "bacterial SSU rRNA". It matches the Rfam family "Bacterial small subunit ribosomal RNA", at positions 28 to 581 of the family's 1533-position model. The record is from RNAcentral.
AACGAACGCUGGCGGCAUGCCUAACACAUGCAAGUCGAACGAACCCUUCGGGGUUAGUGGCGCACGGGUGCGUAACGCGUGGGAACCCGCCUUUAGGUUCGGAAUAACUCAGAGAAAUUUGAGCUAAUACCGGAUAAUGUCUUCGGACCAAAGAUUUAUCGCCUUUAGAUGGGCCCGCGUUAGAUUAGAUAGUUGGUGGGGUAAUGGCCUACCAAGUCGACGAUCUAUAGCUGGUCUGAGAGGAUGAUCAGCCACACUGGGACUGAGACACGGCCCAGACUCCUACGGGAGGCAGCAGUGGGGAAUAUUGACAAUGGGCGAAAGCCUGAUCCAGCAAUGCCGCGUGAGUGAUGAAGGCCUUAGGGUUGUAAAGCUCUUUUACCAGGGAUGAUAAUGACAGUACCUGGAGAAUAAGCUCCGGCUAACUCCGUGCCAGCAGCCGCGGUAAUACGGAGGGAGCUAGCGUUGUUCGGAAUUACUGGGCGUAAAGCGCGCGUAGGCGGUCG